CAGUAGCCGCGGGAAUACGUAGGGUGCAAGCGUUAAUCUGAAUUACUGGGCGUAAAGCGUGCGCAGGCGGUUAUAUAAGACAGAUGUGAAAUCCCCGGGCUCAACCUGGGAACUGCAUUUGUGACUGUAUAGCUAGAGUACGGCAGAGGGGGAUGGAAUUCCGCGUGUAGCAGUGAAAUGCGUAGAUAUGCGGAGGAACACCGAUGGCGAAGGCAAUCCCCUGGGCCUGUACUGACGCUCAUGCACGAAAGCGUGGGGAGCAAACAGGAUUAGAUACCCCCGUAGUCCCUGUCUCUUAUAC
This 301-nucleotide ribosomal RNA is filed under the name uncultured bacterium. RNAcentral's name for it is "partial 16S ribosomal RNA". It matches the Rfam family "Bacterial small subunit ribosomal RNA", at positions 509 to 807 of the family's 1533-position model. The record is from RNAcentral.